GGACUACAGGGGUAUCUAAUCCUGUUUGAUCCCCACGCUUUCGGGUCUGAGUGUCAGUGUCUGGCCAGUAAGCCGCCUUCGCCUCCGGUAUUCCACCUGAUAUCUACGUAUUUCACCACUACACCAGGUAUUCUACUUACCUCUCCAGCACUCAAGCUUCGCAGUAUCAAAUGCACUUCCAGGGUUGAGCCCUGGGAUUUCACACCUGACUUACAAAGCCACAUGCACCCGCUUUACGCCCAAUGAUUCCGAACAACGCUAGGAUCCCUCGUCUUACCGCGGCUGCUGGCAC
RNAcentral lists this ribosomal RNA (292 nucleotides) under uncultured bacterium. RNAcentral describes it as "partial 16S ribosomal RNA". The record is from RNAcentral.